AAUAUCUAUGAAGGUGAUAACUCUGAAGAAAGAUAUGAAGAAACAGAAGAGAAAACGAUGGAAGUUUUGGUAUAUAAACUGUUCAGUCAAUCAAAUUUUACCCACUAUAUUUGUAAUUUCAUUUUGUUAUAUGUUCAUUUAUUUUAAUUGUUUAUCAAUCAAAUUUUCUGUUCUGAAGAUGGACACCACAUUAGAUGCUCAAGAAUGUGACUCAAAAAAUGUGGAAAAUGAUUCUUCUAGUGAUAGUUCAGAUGACAACAACCAUGAUGACGAUAACUCUGAUUUUAUUNACGAGCCACAUAUGACUACAAAUGUGAGAAUCUUGGACAUUGUUCAUGUAAUUGUUUAUUUUUGCAAAAUUUAAUACUUUAGCACCUUUCUUUUAUUUGUAGCCUGUGAAAAGUUCAGAGAACAGUGAGGAAGAAAUUGAGGAAAAUGCCUCUAAAACUCCG
RNAcentral lists this long non-coding RNA (452 nucleotides) under Vigna radiata. Its description in RNAcentral is "long non-coding RNA (VRAD_LNC009074)". Lineage: Eukaryota; Viridiplantae; Streptophyta; Magnoliopsida; Fabales; Fabaceae. The record is from RNAcentral.